Molecule: long non-coding RNA, 416 nt
Filed under: Nicotiana benthamiana
Lineage: Eukaryota; Viridiplantae; Streptophyta; Magnoliopsida; Solanales; Solanaceae
Description: long non-coding RNA (NBEN_LNC034432)
Source: RNAcentral
UAAGGGAGAGAGUUUAAGGGAAGUUACCACAAGACCACAACCUCUCCACUAAACUGAACGUGGGUGAAUGAUGGGUUUCUUUCUCAAUCGAUAUUUUCUCUGCCUAUUUAUAUGAAAGAGAUAAUAUAGAACAAGUAAUGCGUAAGAUUUUUUCUCUAACUCAAGAAUUUUCUCUGACUCUCUUCUUCUCCCAACGAAGAACACACACAAGUAAGUGCAUCUGAUUGGUGGAAGAUUAACUUUGUUUCCUAGUAAUUCAAAGUUCGAUUUGGGGCAAUUGUUUCGGUGGUGUGUUCAACAACGGUUUCCGCUGCAUCUACAAGGUACACAAUUUGUUGUUCUCUCCUUCGGUUUAAUCUAACAAUAGUAUCAGAGCUUGUGUUGUAUUUUUUUUGAAUUGCCUCGUAGAGAGAUAC